GGUCCCGCCUGCCCUGUGACUAUAUGUUUAACGGCCGCGGUAUUUUGACCGUGCGAAGGUAGCGCAAUCACUUGUCUUUUAAAUGGAGACCUGUAUGAAUGGCAUAACGAGGGCUUAACUGUCUCCUUUCUCUAGUCAAUGAAAUUGAUCUCCCCGUGCAGAAGCGGGGAUGCUCCCAUAAGACGAGAAGACCCUAUGGAGCUUUAGACAUAAAGCAGAUCAUGUUAAAAAUCCUCCCACAAGAGAAAAAACAGAACGAGCCCUGCUAGAAUGUCUUUGGUUGGGGCGACCGCGGAGGAAAACAAAGCCUCCAUGUGGACUGGGGCCCAACAAGCCCCAUAACUAAGAGCUUCCGCUCUAAGUAUCAGAAACCUUUGACCUAUCAGAUCCGGCCAUACCGAUCAACGAACCGAGUUACCCUAGGGAUAACAGCGCAAUCCCCUUCUAGAGUCCCUAUCGCCAAGGGGGUUUACGACCUCGAUGUUGGAUCAGGACAUCCUAAUGGUGCAGCCGCUAUUAAGGGUUCGUUUGUUCAACGAUUAAAGUCCUACGUGAUC
This 557-nucleotide ribosomal RNA is filed under the name Choerodon vitta (redstripe tuskfish). Its description in RNAcentral is "partial 16S ribosomal RNA". It matches the Rfam family "Bacterial large subunit ribosomal RNA", at positions 1851 to 2605 of the family's 2925-position model. Lineage: Eukaryota; Metazoa; Chordata; Actinopteri; Labriformes; Labridae. The record is from RNAcentral.